CUUUGUUGUAGUAUUCUCCCCACUAUAUAUGGUAUUACUGAGACAUUAUUCUUGUGACGGGCAUAGUUCUACUCUGCUUACCUUGUAACAAUCUUCGGAGACAUGGAGGAGACAGAUUGUUUCAGAUGGGGAAACUGAGGCACAGAGCAGUGACUUGCAGCAGGUCACUCAGCAGGCCAGUGGCAGAGCCAGAAAUAAAGCCGGAGUUUCCUGUGUCCCAGUUCAGAUUUCUGCCUGAAAAAAGACUGAUGAACAGAGCCCGAAGUUGCAUCUCCUUCUGACCUUCAUUCUAGCAGGAUUACAGUACACACACAUACCUUAAUAAAUGAUGUGUUUUUGUAAAUUUUAAACGGGAAACCAGUCAGCUUUAAUUUCUUCACGACUGUUAUGGAUUUAUCUAAAUCAAGCACAACUCCUGUGGCAGCUAUCCGGAAAUCAGGCUGAAAUAUACAACAGUAUGGAUGACUGAUAGAUCAUUAAAUGUGUAUAACAACAAUCCUACUGCAGCAACUGAAGAACUCACUUGACAGGUACUAUUUCAUGACAUGUCAUAACCAGAGUUCACAGACUUUACAACUUUAGCUGUAGCACUGCAGCAUGGCAAACGAAAAUCAACUUCAUGAAAACUGGUUGAGUUACUGCCAAUGUCACAUCCCUAGCACCCAUUUAUGAGCUAUUCAGAAUGGCUAUUCAAAUGAAUUUUAAAGUCAUCUUUAAGAUUUUUUCCCCAUUUUCUACUGUACUCUGCACUCUGUUUCUUCAUGAAAAAGAAUUUUACACGCACACACAUGCAGAACGGCUUAGAGCCAAGGGACCUUGUUA
This is a long non-coding RNA of Mauremys mutica (yellowpond turtle), 822 nucleotides long. RefSeq lists it as uncharacterized. The transcript has 3 exons. The record is from RefSeq and is a predicted model, not a curated record. Lineage: Eukaryota; Metazoa; Chordata; Testudines; Geoemydidae.